This 697-nucleotide ribosomal RNA is filed under the name uncultured Alphaproteobacteria bacterium. Its description in RNAcentral is "bacterial SSU rRNA". It matches the Rfam family "Bacterial small subunit ribosomal RNA", at positions 28 to 773 of the family's 1533-position model. The record is from RNAcentral. Lineage: Bacteria; Pseudomonadati; Pseudomonadota; Alphaproteobacteria.
AGCGAACGCUGGCGGCAGGCCUAAUACAUGCAAGUCGAGCGCACCUUCGGGUGAGCGGCGGACGGGUGAGUAACGCGUGGGAACGUGCCCUUUGGUUCGGAACAACACAGGGAAACUUGUGCUAAUACCGAAUGUGCCCUUCGGGGGAAAGAUUUAUCGCCAUUGGAGCGGCCCGCGUUGGAUUAGGUAGUUGGUGGGGUAAAGGCCCACCAAGCCGACGAUCCAUAGCUGGUCUGAGAGGAUGAUCAGCCACACUGGGACUGAGACACGGCCCAGACUCCUACGGGAGGCAGCAGUAGGGAAUCUUGCGCAAUGGGCGAAAGCCUGACGCAGCCAUGCCGCGUGAAUGAUGAAGGUCUUAGGAUUGUAAAAUUCUUUCACCGGGGAAGAUAAUGACGGUACCCGGAGAAGAAGCCCCGGCUAACUUCGUGCCAGCAGCCGCGGUAAUACGAAGGGGGCUAGCGUUGCUCGGAAUUACUGGGCGUAAAGGGCGCGUAGGCGGAUAGUUUAGUCAGAGGUGAAAGCCCAGGGCUCGACCUUGGAACUGCCUUUGAUACUGGCUAUCUUGAGUUCGGGAGAGGUGAGUGGAAUGCCGAGUGUAGAGGUGAAAUUCGUAGAUAUUCGGCGGAACACCAGUGGCGAAGGCGACUCACUGGCCCGAUACUGACGCUGAGGCGCGAAAGCGUGGGGAGCAAAC